This 444-nucleotide ribosomal RNA is filed under the name uncultured bacterium. Its description in RNAcentral is "bacterial SSU rRNA". It matches the Rfam family "Bacterial small subunit ribosomal RNA", at positions 338 to 795 of the family's 1533-position model. The record is from RNAcentral.
CCUACGGGGGGCAGCAGUAGGGGAAUAUUGCACAAUGGGGGAACCCCUGAGGCAGCGACGCCGCGUGAAGGAAGAAGGUUUUCGGAUCGUAAACUCUUAUCAGCAGGGAGGAAGAAAGGAACAGUACCGGACAAAGAAGCCCCGGCUAACUACGUGCCAGCAGCCGCGGUAAUACGAAGGGGGCAAGCGUUAUCCGGAACCACUGGGUGUAAAGGGUGCGUAGGCGGUAGGGCAAGUCAGAUGUGAAAGCCCGGGGCUCAACCCCGGGAUUGCAUUUGAAACUGUCUUACUAGAGUGCAGGAGAGGAAAGCGGAAUUCCUAGUGUAGCGGUGAAAUGCGUAGAUAUUAGGAAGAACACCAGUGGCGAAGGCGGCUUUCUGGACUGUAACUGACGCUGAGGCACGAAAGCGUGGGGAGCGAACAGGAUUAGAUACCCCAGUAGUC